ACUUGGUCUAUGUUGGGA
Molecule: non-coding RNA, 18 nt
Filed under: Arabidopsis thaliana (thale cress)
Lineage: Eukaryota; Viridiplantae; Streptophyta; Magnoliopsida; Brassicales; Brassicaceae
Source: RNAcentral